This 253-nucleotide ribosomal RNA is filed under the name uncultured bacterium. RNAcentral's name for it is "partial 16S ribosomal RNA". It matches the Rfam family "Bacterial small subunit ribosomal RNA", at positions 524 to 776 of the family's 1533-position model. The record is from RNAcentral.
UACGGAGGGUGCGAGCGUUAAUCGGAAUUACUGGGCGUAAAGCGCACGUAGGUGGUUGCGUAAGUCGGAUGUGAAAUCCCUGGGCUUAACCUGGGAACUGCAUUCGAUACUGUGCGACUAGAGUGCGGUAGAGGGGGGUAGAAUUCCUAGUGUAGCGGUGAAAUGCGUAGAUAUUAGGAGGAAUACCAGUGGCGAAGGCGGCCCCCUGGACUGACACUGACACUGAGGUGCGAAAGCGUGGGGAUCAAACAGG